UGUAGUCAUAUGCUUGUCUCAAAGAUUAAGCCAUGCAUGUCUAAGUAUAAGCAAUUAUACCGCGAAACUGCGAGUGGCUCAUUAUAUAAGUUAUCGUUUAUUUGAUAGCACAUUUACCUACUUGGAUAACCGUGGUAAUUCUAGAGCUAAUACAUGCUAAAAAUCCCGACUUCGGAAGGGAUGUAUUUAUUAGAUUAAAAGCCAACGCCCUUCGGGGCUUCUUGGUGAUUCAUGAUAACUGGUCGAAUCGCAUGGCCUUGCGCCGGCGAUGGUUCAUUCAAAUUUCUUCCCUAUCAACUUUCGAUGCGAAGGUCUUGUCUUCGCAUGGUUGCAACGGGUAACGGAGGGUUAGGGCUCGACCCCGGAGAAGGAGCCUGAGAAACGGCUACUCCAUCCAAGGAAGGCAGCAGGCGCGCAAAUUACCCAAUCCCGACACGGGGAGGUAGUGACAAUAAAUACUGAUACAGGGCUCUUUUGGGUCUUGUAAUCGGAAUGAGUACAAUUUAAAUCCCUUAACGAGGAACAAUUGGAGGGCAAGUCUGGUAAUCG
RNAcentral lists this ribosomal RNA (549 nucleotides) under uncultured eukaryote. RNAcentral's name for it is "SSU rRNA". It matches the Rfam family "Eukaryotic small subunit ribosomal RNA", at positions 21 to 570 of the family's 1831-position model. The record is from RNAcentral.